This is a small nuclear RNA of Acomys russatus (golden spiny mouse), 105 nucleotides long. NCBI's taxonomy places the organism in Eukaryota, Metazoa, Chordata, Mammalia, Rodentia, Muridae. The record is from RefSeq and is a predicted model, not a curated record.
GCUCACUUCAGCUGUUCAUGCAGUCAAACUGGGACGAUACAGAGGAGAUUAGCAUGGCCACUGUGCAAGUAAGACACACAAAUUUGUGAAUCAUUCCGUACCUUU